GAUCCUGGCUCAGGAUGAACGCUAGCUACAGGCUUAACACAUGCAAGUCGAGGUGCAGCAUGGUCUUAGCUUGCUAAGACUGAUGGCGACCGGCGCGACGGGUGAGUAACACGUAUCCAACCUGCCGUCUACUCUUGGACAGCCUUCUGAAAGGAAGAUUAAUACAAGAUGGCAUCAUGAGUCCGCAUGUUCACAUGAUUAAAGGUAUUCCGGUAGACGAUGGGG
Molecule: ribosomal RNA, 225 nt
Filed under: uncultured bacterium
Lineage: Bacteria
Description: partial 16S ribosomal RNA
Rfam family: Bacterial small subunit ribosomal RNA
Source: RNAcentral